This 552-nucleotide ribosomal RNA is filed under the name Triticum aestivum (bread wheat). RNAcentral's name for it is "partial small subunit ribosomal RNA". Lineage: Eukaryota; Viridiplantae; Streptophyta; Magnoliopsida; Poales; Poaceae. The record is from RNAcentral.
AUGUCGUUCAACGGUGUGCUGCGAGUGUUGUAUGUGAUGGUGACCAAGGGAGAUGUGGUUCUCAUGUACUUCAACGGCGGCGGGGUGCUGCUGGAACUGGUUUAUACUGCUAUCUUCAUCAGUAUUGCUUCAGCAGCGGACCGUCGUCGGGCCAAUCUGCUUCGAUCCAUCGUGCCUGGGCUCUUGAUCCUUAUCCUGGGCGGCAUAUGUUACCUGACCAGUGCCACAGCUUACAGGCUGCUCUGUGCCAUCUGUGGGAGUGCUCUGUACAUCGUCCCAAUGAUUGACGUGGUUAAAGUCAUCAAACUCCGCAAGCGAAAGUACAUGCCACCUCUGCUCCUUACCUCUACCUCGUUCCUCAACAGCAUCAUAUGGGCUGUGAUUUCUGGCAUACAGUCGGAUUGGUACAUCAUGGUACCAAACCUGGUUGGUUUGGCAUGUGCCUGUAUCCAGCUCGGCCUCCACAUAGGAGCUCCGUGGCUGUUCAAGGUUCAUUUCUCAGGCCUUACCGAGCUGUUCCUGGAUGAGGGGGAGGAGGAAUCACCCUGCUGA